Molecule: non-coding RNA, 32 nt
Filed under: Mus musculus (house mouse)
Lineage: Eukaryota; Metazoa; Chordata; Mammalia; Rodentia; Muridae
Also listed under: 1 other name
Source: RNAcentral
UCCAAAGACCUUCAGGUUGAAGGAAUGGAGUU